This 397-nucleotide long non-coding RNA is filed under the name Setaria viridis. RNAcentral's name for it is "long non-coding RNA (SVIR_LNC005305)". Lineage: Eukaryota; Viridiplantae; Streptophyta; Magnoliopsida; Poales; Poaceae. The record is from RNAcentral.
UUACUUUAAAGUUUUAUUCUUGAUUGCUCAGGACCAAAGAAAAGAAGAAGAAAGUUUUGUUUUUAUAUUCGUUGGAGGAAGCAAAGAAAGUUUUCAUAGAAUUUGCAGCAGAUGGCCUGGUGGGCGGUUGAGGAAGCCAAGACGGAUCGCACAUAGUCUCUAGAUAAAAUCAAAGAAAAAAAGGUCUUUGAGUGCUCGUCGUUUUUUCAAGGGCCUCCAUCACAUGGAGAGGCGAAUGAAGAACAUGCGUGGUCGGCCGUGGCUUCUUCCGAUGCUGGACGUCAUGUGAGCAGUGCAGAGGGCACAAGUCUCCUCUCGUCCGUAUACUCUUUGAUCGACGUGCAUGUAGCAGCCGGAGGUAUGCACAGAUCGGCUGAAAAAUUGAACUGUGGUGAUG